AACGAACGCUGGCGGCAUGCCUAACACAUGCAAGUCGAACGAGAUCUUCGGAUCUAGUGGCGCACGGGUGCGUAACGCGUGGGAAUCUGCCCUUUGCUUCGGAAUAACAGUUAGAAAUGACUGCUAAUACCGGAUGAUGUCUUCGGACCAAAGAUUUAUCGGCAAAGGAUGAGCCCGCGUAGGAUUAGGUAGUUGGUGGGGUAAAGGCCUACCAAGCCGACGAUCCUUAGCUGGUCUGAGAGGAUGAUCAGCCACACUGGGACUGAGACACGGCCCAGACUCCUACGGGAGGCAGCAGUGGGGAAUAUUGGGACAAUGGGCGAAAGCCUGAUCCAGCAAUGCCGCGUGAGUGAUGAAGGCCUUAGGGUUGUAAAGCUCUUUUACCAGGGAUGAUAAUGACAGUACCUGGAGAAUAAGCUCCGGCUAACUCCGUGCCAGCAGCCGCGGUAAUGUGACUACUG
RNAcentral lists this ribosomal RNA (461 nucleotides) under uncultured bacterium. RNAcentral describes it as "bacterial SSU rRNA". It matches the Rfam family "Bacterial small subunit ribosomal RNA", at positions 29 to 534 of the family's 1533-position model. The record is from RNAcentral.